RNAcentral lists this long non-coding RNA (5426 nucleotides) under Citrus maxima (pomelo). RNAcentral describes it as "long non-coding RNA (CMAX_LNC002153)". The record is from RNAcentral. Lineage: Eukaryota; Viridiplantae; Streptophyta; Magnoliopsida; Sapindales; Rutaceae.
AAUGUUAGACCUAUGAAAACUUAUGUUAGGCGCAAAUAUAAAGGGGCAGGGGCUGUUUAGUAAUUCUAGGGGCAGGGGCAAUUUAGUAACUUUACUAUUAAUUAGGGUUUAGCUAUAAAUAAGAGAUUAUGGAGUCAUUUAUGUUCUAUGUUGAGUUUUGUCUGGUAUUAGGAACCAUUAGGAGUUUUGGGAGAGAUUGGCCUACCUCUCGAAUUGUAGGUCAGGAUUGAUUGUUUGUUUCUUUUGAUUUAAUCAAUAAAAGUCAGCCCUAAUUUAGCCCUAAGUCCUAUCAAAGUGGUAUCAGAGCAAGAAUCUUGAGACAAUGGCAGCGAAGAAGGCGGACGCGCUUGAAGAAAAAUUGGAAGCAGAGGUCGGAUCACUCAAGGCUACGAUUGAUGAGCGAUUCAACACCGUUGAACAACAAUUUUCAUCUCUUGAAACCAUGUUGCUGAAAUUGACAGAACUCCACCUCAACCCACCACUGGUAGCACCGAAGGGCUAUGGUGGUUUGGCAGGAGACGGAUCUGGUGGCACGGAAACCGAGAUGGGCGACGGCGCAGGAGUCGGGGUGACCAGGAAGGGCGAAUUGGGGGCGUUUGGGGGUGAGACACAACCUGAACAGGCUGGAUUUGGGCCCGAGCGGGGAGGAUUUGGGUUUGGACAGGCUGGAUUUGGGGGCGCUAGGCCAAGAGGAGGAAUUUCUGGUGAGAAAGGGAGCGGUUAUGGCCGAAAUACGGCUGGGCAAGGAAUUCCAGCCCACUAUGGUGCUGGGGAAGGAGAAUUUUGGGCUGGAUCUUCGGGAUUUGCAGACACUGGAGUAGAUACGGGAGGUUGGAGACCUCCGAUGGCACGAACUGGGGCUGGUCAGACUCAAUUUGGAGCGGAUUCUAGGGUAAGGAAGCUGAAAAUGCCUAUUUUCGAAGGCGAGGAUGCCUAUGGAUGGGUGUAUAGGGUAGAGCGCUAUUUCAUUACCAGUGGACUCUCAGAGAGGGAAAAGUUAAUGACAGCGGCGUUAUGUUUGGAGGGAAAGGCGCUUGCGUGGUUUCAAUGGCGAGAACAACGACAACCAUUGCGGUCAUGGGGUGAAUUUAAGGACCGCCUAUUGGAGAGAUUUGAGCCGCUCAAGAAGGGGAUUUGCAUGAACAGUUUUUUGCCUUGACCCAAGAGGGAACGGUCAUGAAAUAUAGGGAAAAGUUUGAGUUGCUGUCCGGGCGUCUAGGGGAAGUCUCAGAUGCAGUGUUGGAAGGGAAUUUUAUGAAGGGACUGAAACCGAAAAUCCGAGCCGCACUACGCUUGCUGAGGCCGAGAGGGUUAGGGGAGACAAUGGAGUUGGCACAGAUGAUUGAGGACAAGAACAGAGCAAAACAAAUUAAUAAGAGCAAUUCAAUCGGUUUUUCAUACCGAAAUAGCACACCAUUGGUAGGUCAGAAAACCCAGACCUUGGGGCUCCAGCGAGAGUUCCAAAGCACACCACCGGGAGGUCAGAAAACACAAAUUAAGGGGAUACAGAGAGAUUCCCAAAGGGAUCGGGCUAGUGGUGCACGAUCGGGGGCGACUUUCAAACGCCUCACAGAGACAGAGAUUCAAGACAAGAGGGUGAAGGGGUUGUGUUUUCGAUGUGAUGAGAAAUUUUCCCCAGGGCAUCGAUGUAAAGACAAAUCACUACAAGUUUUGACUGUGUGUGAUGAGGAGGAAAGCGGAGGAGAAGCCGAGGAAGAAGAGGUGGAAGAGCAAGAACGUCCUCAUUUAGAUGUCGCUGAGGUUUCACUCAACUUAGGAGUGGGAUUUACACCGAACCAUACAAUGAAGAUAAGGGGGAGAAUAGGGGAGCAGGACGUAGUGGUGUUAAUCGAUAGUGGUGCAACCCACAAUUUUAUUUCUAAUAAAGUAGUAGAAAUUUGAGAUUUCAAUAAAAGUCAACCCCUUCACCCUCUUGUCAGCCCUAACUUAGCCCUAAGUCCUAUCAGAAAACCUCAAGGGUACUUCUGGGAAGGUAGAAAAGAGUAAGGGAAUAUGUAGAGGGCUGAUCUUACUAUUACCAGGGGUUCAAGUGGUGGAGGACUUUCUUCCGUUGGACUUAGGAAGUACAGACGUAAUUUUAGGAAUGAAGUGGUUGCAGACGCUAGGAGAGAUGAAAGUGAAUUGGAAACUAUUAACAAUGGAGUUUCGGGUAAAUAGUCAGGUGGUCGUGCUACGGGGUGAUUCGAGUUUGAGCAAAACCUUUGUGUCCUUAAAAACCAUGAUAAAGGCGAUUCAAGACGCGAGGCAGGGAUUCUUGGUGGAGCUACAUAGCAUGGUAGGAGGACGGACAGAGGCAUCAACAGUUAUUCAAAAACCAAUUCAGCAGCUGUUGGAGCAAUUUGAGGGGGUUUUCCAUAUGCCUAGUGGCCUACCUCCUCGACGAGAACAUGAGCAUGCAAUAGUGUUAAAGGAAGGGGCUUCACCGAUUAGUGUCCGACCAUACCGGUACCCUCAGAUACAGAAGAACGAGAUUGAGAGGCUAGUUAGGGAAAUGAUAGAGGCCGGGAUAAUACAACCGAGCGUGAGUCCAUUUUCGAGCCCGAUCUUGUUAGUGAAGAAAAAAGAUGGGAGCUGGAGGUUUUGUAUCGACUACCGAGCGCUGAAUAAGGAAACGGUACUUGAUAAAUUUCCUAUUCCAGUGAUAGAUGAGUUGUUGGAUGAGUUGCAUGGGGCGUCAGUAUUUACAAAGAUAGAUUUGAAGUCGGGAUAUCACCAGAUACGGAUGCGACCAAAGGAUGUGCAUAAGACUGCAUUUCGGACUCACGAGGGACAUUACGAAUUUCUGGUUAUGCCGUUUGGCCUUACAAACGCACCAGCCACUUUUCAGUCAUUGAUGAAUAAGGUAUUUCAGCCCUAUUUGAGGAAGUUUGUCCUUGUUUUCUUCGACGAUAUCUUAGUUUACAGUCGCACUUUGGAGGAUUAUGUGGGUCAUCUGGAGUUAGUAUUAAAGGAGUUACAGAAACAUCAGUUGUAUGCCAAUCGGAAAAAGUGCUUGUUUGCGCAGACAAGGGUGGAAUACUUGGGGCAUGUGGUGUCGGCAGAGGGGGUUUCAGCAGAUCAGUCUAAGAUAGCGGCAAUGCUAGAAUGGCCUCUACCUUAGACACUAAAGGAGUUGAGGGGUUUUUUGGGGCUCACCGGAUAUUACCGGAAGUUUGUGAAAGGGUAUAACACCAUAGCAUGGCCUCUGACCGAGCAGUUGAAGAAGGAUAGUUUUCAAUGGGGGGAAGCAGCGAUGCAAGCUUUUGAGAAACUAAAGCGGGCCAUGACUAGUGUUCCGGUGCUAGCAUUACCAGAUUUUAGCCGACCAUUUAUCGUAGAGACAGAUGCAUCGGGGUAUGGGUUAGGCGCUGUCCUUAUGCAAAAUCAACGCCCAAUCGCUUACUUCAGCCAAGUAUUAACAGCUAGGGCUCGACUCAAGUCAGUUUAUGAGCGCGAACUCAUGGCAAUUGUGUUAGCUAUUCAGAAGUGGAGGCCAUACCUCUUGGGGCGACGUUUUAUCGUUCGAACCGACCAACGGAGUCUCAAAUUCCUAUUGGAACAACGAAUGGUGACUGAGGAACACCAACGCUGGUUGUCGAAGUUACUAGGCUAUGAUUUUGAGAUACAAUAUCGGCCGGGGUUGGAGAAUAAGGCGGCAGAUGCCUUAUCGCGACGGAAGGAGGAACCUCAGUUGGUAGCUUUAUCGGUGCCUUUGGUGAUGGAUUGGGACGCAUUGUUACGAGAAAUUGAAGCAGACGAGGGGCUGGUAAAGAUCCGGACAGCGUUGUUACGUGGGGAACUGGGAUACCCGGGUUAUUCUAUGGAUGGACAACGACUGUUAUAUCAAGGGCGUCUGGUGCUGCCGAGGACAUCACUCCAAAUACCGAAGUUAUUAUGGGAGUUUCACGAGAGUGCUAUUGGGGGACAUUCUGGUGUUCUAAAAACUUAUUGGCGUUUGGCCGCAGAGCUGUAUUGGGUUGGGAUGAAGAAGGAUGUUGAGGAGAUGGUAGCGAGGUGUGAUGUGUGUCAACGCCACAAAUAUAUGGCAAUGGCACCAGGAGGGUUGUUGCAACCAUUAUCACUACCCAAUAAGGUUUGGGAGGAGGUAACGAUGGAUUUUGUUGAAGGGUUGCCACGUUCGGAUGGAUAUACGGUGAUCUUGGUGGUGGUCGAUCGACUAAGCAAGUAUGCUCAUUUCAUACCCCUACGACACCCUUAUACUGCUGUGAUGGUUGCAGCGGCGUUUAUGCGUGAGGUAGUACGUUUACAUAGAAUUCCGGAGUCGAUAGUAACAGACCGAGAUAAGGUUUUUCUAAGCCACUUUUAGAGGGAGUUGUUUAAAAUGCAGUGUACAAUUUUGAAGAGGAGCACAGCUUACCAUCCACAAACUGAUGGGCAGACUGAGAUAGUCAACCGAUGUGUAGAGACUUAUCUACGAUGUUUUGUGUUGGACAAGCCUAAGCAAUGGGCGAGGUAGUUAGCAUGGGCAGAGUAUUGGUACAAUACUUCUUAUCACACUGCUGCACAAACCACUCCUUUUAAGAUCUUGUAUGGGCGAGAUCCUCCACAUUUGGUGUACUAUGGUCAAGGUUCGACACCUGUAUCGCAGGCGGAUCAAUACUUGGAGGAACGAGAUCGAAUACUUGAUGAGUUGAAGAGGCAUCUAUUUAAAGCGCAGCAGAUAAUAAAAAAACAGGCCGACGGUCAUAGGAGGGACGUGCAAUUUGCGGUGGGGGACCGAGUUUAUCUGAAGCUAUGGCCAUACCGACAGAAAUCUCUUGCGCGACGGAGGAGUGAGAAGCUCUCCCCUCGGUAUUUUGGGCCCUAUGAGAUUGAAAAAAAGAUUGGCGAGGUGGCGUAUCGGUUGAAGUUGCCGCCAACAUCGGUCAUUCACCCGGUGUUUCAUGUGUCUCAGUUGAGACGAGCUAUUGGAGAACAUACACCCUCUCCUUUGCUUCCACCAACGCUGACUGAGGAUAUGGAGGUCGUGCUAGAACCAGCGGCUGUGGAGGGAGUACGCCAGGGAGUUACAGGACAACCUACUGAUACAGAAGUGUUGAUUACAUGGAAGGACUUGCCAGACUAUGAGGCAACAUGGGAGCCAUAUGAGUUGAUACAACAACAGUUCCCUGAAUUCCACCUUGAGGACAAGGUGUCUUUUUGGGAGGGGAGUAAUGUUAUACCUAUGAAAACUUAUGUUAGGCGCAAAUAUAAAGGGGCAGGGGCUGUUUAGUAAUUCUAGGGGCUGGGGCAAUUUAGUAACUUUACUAUUAAUUAGGGUUUAGCUAUAAAUAAGAGAUUAUGGAGUCAUUUAUGUUCUAUGUUGAGUUUUGUCUGGUAUUAGGAUCCAUUAGGAGUUUUGGGAGAGAUUGACCUACCUCUCGAAUUGUAGGUCAGGAUUGAUUGUUUGUUUCUUUUGAUUUAAU